RNAcentral lists this ribosomal RNA (750 nucleotides) under uncultured bacterium. RNAcentral describes it as "bacterial SSU rRNA". It matches the Rfam family "Bacterial small subunit ribosomal RNA", at positions 28 to 776 of the family's 1533-position model. The record is from RNAcentral.
GAUGAACGCUGGCUGUGUGCCUAAUACAUGCAUGUCGAGCGAAGCACUUUUGUGCUUAGCGGCGAAUGGGUGAGUAACACGUACUUAACCUACCCUCAAGAUUGGGACAACACUUGGAAACGAGUGCUAAUACCAAAUACGUAUUUUUAUCGCAUGAUAGAUAUAUAAAAGGAGCUUCGGCUUCACUAGAGGAUGGGAGUGCGCUACAUUAGUUAGUUGGUAGGGUAAUGGCCUGCCAAGACUAUGAUGUAUAGCGGGGCCGAGAGGCUGAUCCGCCACACUGGGACUGAGAUACGGCCCAGACUCCUACGGGAGGCAGCAGUAGGGAAUUUUCCACAAUGAACGAAAGUUUGAUGGAGCGACACAGCGUGCAGGAUGAAGGUCUUCGGAUUGUAAACUGCUGUUAUAAGAGAAGAAAAACCCUGGUAGGUAAUGACCAGGACUUGACGGUACCUUAUCAGAAAGCGACGGCUAACUAUGUGCCAGCAGCCGCGGUAAUACAUAGGUCGCAAGCGUUAUCCGGAAUUAUUGGGCGUAAAGAGUUCGUAGGUGGUUUUGUAAGUCUGAAGUUAAAUACCGGGGCUCAACCCCGGCCCGCUUUGGAUACUGCAAAACUAGAGUAAUAGAGAGGUUAGUGGAACUCCAAGUGAAGCGGUGGAAUGCGUAGAUAUUUGGAAGAACACCAAUGGCGAAGGCAACUAACUGGAUAUUAACUGACACUGAGGAACGAAAGCGUGGGUAGCAAACAGG